This 19155-nucleotide long non-coding RNA is filed under the name Setaria italica (foxtail millet). Its description in RNAcentral is "long non-coding RNA (SITA_LNC003574)". Lineage: Eukaryota; Viridiplantae; Streptophyta; Magnoliopsida; Poales; Poaceae. The record is from RNAcentral.
UGGGCUUCUUGGGCUCCGGCGGCGGCAGCUUCUCCACGGUCACAGUCAGUACGCCGUCCUUGCACACGGCAGAGAUCUUGUCCAUGUCGGCAUUAUCCGGGAGCACGAACUUGCGCAUGAACUUGCCCAUCCGGCGCUCCAUGCGCAGGUACUUGGCGUCCUCGCGCUCCUCCCGCCGCCGCUCGCCGCUGAUCACCAGCACCCGCUCGUCCUCCACCUGCACCUUGAUGUCGCCCGUGCCCAGCCCCGGCAUGUCCACCACGAACGCAUACGAGCUGGGCAGCUCCUUCACGUCGGCAGGGGUCGCCGCCAUGGCGCGCGCGUCACGGACGUAGGUGCGCGUGGGGCCGCCGCCCGCCGCGGCGCCGGCCUUGUCGCCGCCCGCGCCGGCGUCGCCGUCGGGGACGUCCAGCAGGUGCUGCAGCGCCGCCAUCAGGGGAGUCUCCAGCCCGAACAUCCUCGCGUCCAUCUCGCCGCCGCGGAUCUUGGCCUCCCUCACUCGAUUUGCUUUGGUUGCUUGGUUUGCUGAUUUGCGGAUUGCUCAGGUGUUCGUGUGUUUCUUGGUACUGCGUGGAGUGAGGAGGGGAGAGGGAUGGCUUAUAUGCCGGUGGGAGGAGGUAGAGUCUGGAAGGCCAUGGAAGGUUCUGAAAGGGGGGAGGGGCUGUGCGCGCGGCGCGGCGCGGCGUUGGCGCGGGUAUGAUGGUGGAGAAGCAUCUGGAAUAUAAUAGAGCUUCUGCGGUUGGAAAUCUAGGAGACAGUAGACUUUUCUGGACCUACUUGUCAUCUCGUUAGCUAUGACACGUGUCUGUGGGCCCUGUCUUUAUCCGUCCGUCUUUCCGCUGAGAUAUUUAUUGGGCUUUUGCUCCACUUUUCCGUUCUUUUGCCGAGAGAGUUCCAGACUUCUACUUUUGAAUUUGAAAGGAGAUUUUGCGAUCGCUUCAUAUGCUGUAACAAGAAAAAUGUUAAUGCGGAAGAGGGUAGUUUUUUGCCGGUGAAAAUAACUGGGUAGGAUUUAGCUUCCCCCUGGCGAUCACUUUUACUGGAGCUCAGUCCACUAACAAUCAACCGAGCCCCUUGUUACUCAGGUGUUAGGUCUCACCUUUUAAGUUAUGCUCCCGAACUUAGAGAAAUUCUGGUAAUUUCUCUUCUCAUUUGGAUGGAACUCGUUAAUUUUUUAAAUUUCAGUAAAAUUUUACUAAAAGAAUAUAAAUCUUGUCCAUUUUUUGGUCUACCGACAACUCCGAUGAAACUUAAGCGGUAAGUAAAUCCUGAAGGAGAUAUGCUAGCAUCUGAGCUAGUUCUGCCCUGCAGCUUGAGGAACAUCAGAAAGCAUUUGUUGCUUCAAUACAUGAUGCAGAAAUAGUGGAAACACCACGAACUAACAAUCCAUAACUCGAGUACUUGACCCACCAAAAUGCUAUGGGUUGAAUUAUUGCUACAGACAGCUACCAGAUCGGAAAAAGCAGCCACCACUAGAACAACACGAUCGUAGAUCAUUUUUUUCAGUUAAGGAGCCUUAAUUUUUCUGAACAACGGCGACUCAGUUGGGUGCUUCAUCAUAUUGUGGUCAAAUCUUAUCCCCAUGGUUUCCACAGCGCAAGCAACAAAACUACACCACAACAGCGUGUCUAAACUCUAAAACUUUCCUAAACUAGGCGUGGCCGUGUCCUCAAAACAUGUUUCUGGCACAUCAGAAAUCAAAACAUUUUUACAGAGAUUCUGCUUACUCGAGAUAGACCCUUUUCUCACUAGUCCUAAACAAGGCAUAUUCAUGUUUUGAGUCAUCUGGUGACGGCGUUUUAACAAUUCUACUUGUACAAGCCAUUCAGAGUGAGAUGUGCAUCCAAAAAAAGAGCAAGGCCUUGUUUAGUUGGCGAAUUUGGGAGGUGCCAAAUUACUGUUACAGCACUGUAGCACACUGUAGCGUUUCGUUUGUAUUUGUGAAUUAUUGUCCAAAUAUUGACUAAUUAGGCUCAAAAGAUUCGUCUCGCAAAGUACAACAAAACUGUGCAAUUACUUUUUAAUUUCAUCUAUAUUUAGUACUCCAUGCAUGUACCGCAAAUUUGAUGUGUGGGGAAUCUUCUUUUUGCAUAGGGGCUGUUUGGAUACAAGGUGUUAAACUUUAACAGUGUCACAUCGGAUGUUCGGAUACUAAUUAGGAGGACUAAACAUGAGCUAAUUAUAAAACUAACUGCAGAACCCCUAUACUAAUUCGCGAGACGAAUCUAUUAAGCCUAAUUAAUCCAUCAUUAGCAAAUGGUUACUGUAGCACCACAUUGUCAAAUCAUGGACUAAUUAGGCUUAAUAGAUUCGUCUCGCGAAUUAUACUCCAUCUGUACAAUUAGUUUUGUAAUUAGCUUAUAUUUAGUACUCCUAAUUAGCAUCCAAACAUCCGAUGUGACAGGUGUUAAAGUUUAAUAGGGUGUUCCCAAACACCCCCAUAGUGUCAAAGUUGGAAGUUGGGAGUAACUAAACAUGACCCAAGAAACGAACAAGAUGCAGAUUUAAUUAUUCAGAAAGCAGUUCACAUCAGCUUCUGCAUUCCGUAGCACAGAAGCCACAUACCGAGCACCGCACAGCCACAAAAGAACGGAAGAAACUCUCAUGAGCACACUAGUCACUAUCACUCAUGCCACCCCGCAUCACUACUGCUCUCAUCCUCACCACACUCACUGACACUCCCCUGAAGUCCUGAACUUAUUAGGCUUGAUCGAUCCUCGCUCAUCCUCUCAGGCGAUCUUGACCUCGAUGGUCUUGGGCUUCUUGGGCUCCGGCGGCGGCAGCUUCUCCACGGUCACCGUCAGCACGCCGUCCUUGCACACGGCGGAGAUCUUGUCCAUGUCGGCGUUGUCCGGGAUCACGAACUUGCGCAUGAACUUGCCCAUCCGGCGCUCCAUGCGCAGGUACUUGGCGUCCUCGCGCUCCUCCCGCCGCCGCUCGCCGCUGAUCACCAGCACCCGCUCGUCCUCCACCUGCACCUUGAUGUCGCCCGUGCCCAGCCCCGGCAUGUCCACCACGAACGCGUAGGACCCCGGGAGCUCCUUCACGUCGGCCGGGGUCGCCGCCAUGGCGCGUGCGUCGCGGACGUAGGUGCGCGUGGGGCCGCCCGCCGCUGCGCCAGCCUUGUCGCCGCCCGCGCCGGCGUCGCCGUCGGGAACGUCCAGCAGGUGCUGCAGCGCCGCCAUCAGGGGAGUCUCCAGCCCGAACAUCCUCGCGUCCAUCUCGCCGCCGCGGAUCCUGGUCGCUCUUCUCUCGGUCUCUCCUUUGGGGAUCUCGCUUGGUCGCUUUGGUUGCUUGGUUUCUUGAUCUGUGGAUUGUUCUUGCACUUGUGUGAUUCUUUCUGUUGCUUGUGACGAGGCAGGACAGGAGAGGCGAUUUAUAUUGGUGGUGAGAGCUGAGUCUAGAAGGUGAUGGAACAUUCUGAAAGCUGGUGGAGUGUGCAGGGGCGCCUCGUAAGCGUGGGUGUUGAUGGUGGGUGGAGAAGAAUCUAGAAUAGAUUAGAGUUCUGUCCUUCGAAUGGUCUUUCUCUAGGAGGCAGUGUUGUUUCUGGGCCCACAUGUCAUAGAGGAGUGAUGGCACGUGUCUGGUGGUCCUAUCCGUGUCUCCGAACAGAUAUUUUCGAGCGCUUUGUUCCCACUUUUCUGUGCCAUUCCCUUCUGGAAAGUUCUUUUUAGCGAUCCUUCUAGAAGCAUUCUAGAAUUCGAGAUUUUGAAAUUUGUCGAUCGCUUCAAUCUUGUAACAAACUGAGCACAACUAUGAAAGCACCCGUCUUCAAUCUGACGUGGGCAAAUGCAUUCAGAUGCUAGUCCUAGAGUGCUGAGCAAUGCGAAAUGGUGGAUAUCGAAGGUAGGCAAGGCCAGUUUCCAGAAUUUAAAAAACAAUGAGCAUACAUACACCCGAGUACUCGACAGAAUUGUGGGUAAAAGUAAUACAACAUAUUAUUCCAAAGUCUAUGCAGAAGUAAGAUAUUACAAGAUUUGUGUUAAGAUCUCGAUUCUAUUCUUUAACUUGUAAGCCCGCAAGGAAAAAAAAAACUGAAGAAAUAAGCCCCAGAUAUUUACAGGGUGCCCUAUCCAAAAUCUCAACCUUUUCUUAAGCAGGGACAAAAAUCUCCAGGCCUCUUAUGAAGAUUGCGCAGAUUUGCCUGAGCUGCGACCUCUAAAUCCGACCACGCUGAGCUUAGUUCCCAACUUGUUCAGAAUAUCACCCUUCGCCUUUCGACCCGCUGGUUUUGCUUUGCUCUUUGAAACCUUCACGCUGUUAUUUGCGGGUUUCACCAGCUUCGCUUUCUGGGGUGCUGCCGAUUUUUUCGCUUUUGGCUGAAUCUUUGGUGGUAAGCGCCUUCGGGUUGAAGUCGUGUCCUUGGGAGUCCUAGAUGACUUGCUAGAUAGCACAACUCCUCUUCUACCCUUCUGAUUGACAACUUUAAGAGCACUUGAAGUCUUAGCCGACCUUGAGGUCCUUCCUUUGGUGCUCGCACUCUGUGGGUUCGCAGCCCUUCUGACAUUGUUAGUUGUCAGAGCUUCCAAGCUCUCAUUUUUCUUCAUGGCCUCUUCAAUCUUUGUAGCUAAAGCCACAUUUUUCUUAGCCACAAGGCUUGUAACUUUCCCUGCAUUUGGGAUGACAAUGAGGAUUCAUGAGUAGACAGAAUAUGAAAAUGCAAAACUGCUCCCUGUCCAAAGAUCAUAAAGCCACGACUACUCACUGUUUGUGGAUAUCUCUGAGUGGCAAACAUAUUUUUGCUAACCCAUCUCCCUUCUGACACAAAAUCACAUAUUAUUUUGUUUCACAGGAGCCAUUUCAAACUCCCUUUAUUCUAUUCCUUUUUUUUUCUAAGCUUGAAAAGUGUAACUGACUUUUUUUUAUCCAAACUACAAUUGAAAAUUCUUUUACUGAAUGAACAGCAAAGUUUCUCUGCAGCGAAGACAUUGAAAUGGUAACCUAAGCUUCAACAAUGGAGGGUAGUUUCUGGUCCGUAAUUAGGUCAUGACAAAAAUAUAACGGAUCAUAGUGAAUAGAAUACAUGAUUAGCAAAGAAAUGAUAAAGAGCAAGUAAAUGCGUACAGUUAUAGCUGAGAAUCGUUACCUUUGGCUCCCAUGCGUGCAGUUCUUCCAGUUCUGUGAAGAUAAUCAAUCUAAAAACACAAAAGAUAAUUACAAGAUAGAUGUGCAUAAGAAUCACUAUGAUGGGAGUAAAUGCAAUCAGACCAUGUAGUAAGUGUAACGCAUACCGAAUUCGAUGGGAAGUCAAACAUGAUGACAUGGUCAACAUCCAAGUCCAGACCUCUAGCUGCCAGAUCAGUGCAUACCAAUGUUGGGCAAUCCCCCUCUUCAUUACGGAACUUGUUCAGGUUCUCAACUCUACAAUUGAUUACCAGGUCUCAUAAAAAUGAAGUCACCUGCUUAAAAAACAGAACAGAAUAAGAAACACAACAAACCUCUCUUCGGCCGGGACCUCUCCAUGAUAGUUAACAGUAGAUAUCUGAUUCUCAGUCAGAAAAUGGUCCACUGCGCGACUUGAAUUUAAAGUAUUACAGAACACCAUAAUUUUGUUUCCCUUCGCCAAGCUUGGCUCAAGAACCUACAUAAAAUAGAGUUCUUCAUUAUCUCAUGAGUUAGAUAGUUUUAAAUAUAUGUGUAUUGCAGUUCUGCCUCUGUCUUCCGACUCUGCCACAUUCAAUACUAAAGUCCACAUAGGACAAAAUAAAACUUGAUUAAUGAUAAAAGCAAGCAAAGAAUGACUCUGCCUCGCAGAUUACCCCAAAGGCCCAAACUAGCAGGAGGCCAAAGAUGUUUUGAGAAAGAUCACUUCUUAAUUGAAUUCCAGAUGCAAUAGUGUGUUUACUAUUUCAUUCAUAGUUCACAACUUCACAUUUUCACAAAAAUUGGCAUAAAAUUCAUCCACCCAACAGAGUAUGGGGCCCUUGGGGCAAUUUAUUUGAUUGCAGGCACAGGCAUACUGAAUAUGGCUGGGGAUUUUCCUAUGAGUAUUGGAGCGUGUCCAAGCAGAUUAAAGAGGAUGAGUUGUCAGAGGCUGCAAUUAUUUGAAUUAUUUCUGCUAUAUUUAUCAUAAAAAGGAGGAGGUGCAAGAUUCUCAUUCGGACUUCUUGCAGAGUGGAACAACACAGUACCAGAAAACGACAUAUGUCUUACAAAGAAGAAACAUAAUUGUACUGACAACAAGAUAUAACAAGAAAUGGAGAAUACAAAUACAAAACUAGUCUGUUGAAUUUUCUUUCAAAAAUGUCCAGUUCGAAAGUAGCUUGGAUUGGAUGGAAAGACAGGUGUAUGUGCAUAGGAGAGGAGUGAAGAGUUAACCUGCAGAAGAGCCUCAAGUUUGUUUUCUGAGCCAGUGAGUUUGAUAAAGUCAUGUCGUGCUGUUGCAACUCUCUUUUGAAAUGUUGAUGUCCGCAAAUGGACAAUACCUUCAAAUUCCUCAUCAAUCAACUUUUGUACAGCCUGCAGUAAAGGAAUACCGAAAAAAGGGGAUUAAAAUACAUAAUAACAAUAACUAAUUAAACAAUACCCCCUCUGUUUCUAAGUAUAUGGCGUUUCGGACAAGUUAACUAAUUCAUUUUUCAAUUAAUUAGCUUGUCCUAAACAUCAUAUAUUUAAAAACAGACGGAGUAUAUGUAUAUCUGAAGUAUCAAUACUGCUACAUGGAAGAGGUCAAAAUAUUUUGUACUUAAAUAGUAAUUGGUGCAGCAAGUAAGAUGCUUUAAAGGUGGACCAAUAAGCAGUGUGUACUAACCAUGUAUGCCAUAUAUGAAUUACAAGCAGAGAAUCAGAUAGGUUUGGAGGGAGGGAUGAUUGGUGAGCAUAAGACCUUUGUCAUGGUAGCAGUAACUAAUACAGUUUGGAACCCCUGAUCACCAGGCUUUGUGGCACGAUUUUUCAAUGGAGCAAGGAACUUCCGUAUGUCUGGUCCAAAGCCUUGAUCAAACAUUGUAUCUGCCUCAUCCAGAACCUGCAAACGCAAAAAAAAAAAAAUCAAAAUAAGACUAUUAGGAGAACAGUGAAGAUGUCACAAAAUGGUAUGUAUCUGUCACACAAACUUAAUAACAUACCAGAUACUUAAUAUCACCGUAAACCAUGUUACCAUCCUUAAUAUGAUCCAAGAUCCUUCCAGGAGUACCAACAACCAUGUCAACAGGCAUGUUCAAAGAAUCUUCCUGGGGUCUUAGACGGGUGCCUCCACUAACCAUCGUUGACCGGAAACGCGCAUGAUGGCUGAUGGACUUUGCAACACGAUAGACCUGUAGUUUGAGCAAUGUGCAUGAACUACUGCUGCAACCAAGAUAUAGCAUUGUUACCAGAAAAUAGUUUGUAUCAUGACCAACCUGCUCAGUUAGCUCCCUUGUGGGGCAGAGUACUACUGCUCUUGGCCGCCUUGGCUUCAUUGACAUUCCCAACAUUGCUUCAUCACGCCGAAGUAGCUACAAGAUAAAGAAAGUGCCAUGGUUACCUUUUGUUAGGCAUAUCCUGACUCACAGAUAUAUAUAAUGGAGAAAAUCCCUAAUUUCUAGUUUGGAGAAAGAAAAAACUGCUUUAUUCAAAUCCAAUAAGAUUAUAACAUAUUAGGUUUGUAAUCACGCUUUGUCAUUAGAUGACUUGCAUGGGCGAUAAAUUUUUUCUUGGCUUCAAUAGCCUUAGAUGAUAUAGCAGCAAGCAGCCAUCAGGAAUUCGUAGUGAUGAAAACAUGGCACCUCAAUCGAUUUUACAAAAUGAGUGGAAAACGUCUCAAAGGACAAGAAAUGAUCCUCAAUGACAUAAGUCGUGUACCAUCGUUUUACUAAAAUCAUGAGCUAACAAUGGUGAAAUAAAAAUGAAUGCAUAAUGCAAAGCAAUUUACUCUUUCCUCCACGAUUAUUACAAUUGUACAGGCAAGCAACACCAUAUUGAGAAGAAGGAAGUACCUGAACAAGAGGGAGCAGGUAGGCGAGCGUCUUCCCGGAUCCCGUGUGCGAGCCGAGCACGACGCUGGUGCCGUCCAGAACCGCGGGAACGCCGACGCACUGGAUCUCCGUGGGCUUGGAGAUGCCCAUCUCCCCGAGCGCGGCCAUCACCUCCUCCCCGAGCCCGAGCUCCUCGAAGCUCUCCGCGGCCUCGACCCUCCUCCCCUGCUGCGGGUGCUGCGAGGUCCGCUCCCCGCCCCUCGCCGCCUUCCCCCGCGGGGGAAGGUUCGGGGAGCCGGGGGAGGAGGAGUCCUUGAGGUGGCGGAGGCGGAGGCGCUCGAGGAGGAGCUCGUGCCGCGGAGGGGGAGCGGGAGCGGAGGUGGGGGUGAGGGUGGGGGCGGCGGUGGAGAGGGCCGCGCGGAGGAGGCGGAGGCGGAGGGGGGACGGGCGGGAGAGCAGGAGGCAGCGACCGGCGGCGGCGGCGCCGGCCAUCGCCAUGGGUGACUGGUUGAGGGUUUAGGGAGGGGAGGGCGCGGAUAAGAGCUGCUCGUGCUGCGGAUACGCACGGAGCCGUCCCGAACCGGGCCCGAGCUACCCAGUGGAGAAGAGAGAGCCCAGAGCACGAUCCAAACGGUGCCACUGCCAGUGGGCCUCAUGACCAUGCUACGCCUAUUUCCAAUUAGUGCAGGAUCAGAUAGGGCUAGUUACUUUGAGUUCAGAUCAUGCAAAAAGGUUUGGAAGCGAACGACAAAUUAACGGUCCAUUUGGGGUGGUUGCUGUUGCUGCAAAGGGAUUGAUCCAUGCUGAGGAAUACAUUUGACUCCACUGAUUACCAUAGUGGUGCGUGUCUGGUGCCACACGGUCAUAGUUAUGAUUUUAGCUAUUUUCAUGUCAUGCACAAAAGGGUUUUUAGCUGACUCUUACUUGUCCAUUGUCACUUGUUAUUUCGAUAUAUUGUUUGUUCCACCGUUUUGUGGUUGAACGCCUACCAAAGUUCAUUUGCACGGUGAUAAUAAUCUGGUGUCAGAGCAACUCCAGGAGUUUCCAAAAAAUUCUUCCUAAAUGAGAUAUUGGGGGCUAUACUAAAUUUUUUUCUCCUAAAAACAUAUCAACCCACAACAGAUCGCUAAAAACUAUCUCCUAAUAAUUCAAAACAGGUCAUGUCAUCGUAUUGGGCCCAUUAGAAUCCGUUGCUUUUUUUCCCCACCACCACGACCAGGAGCCCCCUCACGUCACCAACCCCUGUGCGCACGGUACCCGUCAAAAUCCUUCGUCCGGUACCCCUCUCACGCCACCAGUCCCUGCGGACGGAGGACUCACGCCGGCAGCCCCGUGCAAGGAGGAGCAGUCCUGCGCCCUCCAAUCACACCGGCAGCCCUUGGGCACGGAGGAGCAGUCCUGCGCCCUCCAGUCACACCGGCAGCCCCUACGCACGGAGGACAAGUCACGCCGGCAGCCCUUGCAUCCUGCACCCUCCAAGUCACGUCGGAUCAAAGUAAGGAUUCAUGUCCAUUGAGGCAUGUGGUCGCUUCCGGACCAUUGAGGUCCAAUUUAAAUGUUUGAAACUGCUAAUGCAAAAGUUCCAGACAAAUGGUGAAGAUCCCAACCUCAAAAUAGGUAGAAAUCUGAAACAAGCACCCGUACCCCUUGACCUUUGUUCCAUUCUCGCUUUGUGAACGUCAAUAUACUCAUUUCUUCACUUUGCAGCUUUCUGAAUUUACGCUUACAAUUGAGUCUAGAAUAGCAUUACACAAAAGCACCCAUCAAUUGGCUGCAGAGAACAUAAUGUUUCCAGACUCCGAAUCAGGCAAAGAAACCAAGCAAAUAGCGCAAACGGAAGCCUGAAACAAGCAUCAAUCAGCACAGGAAUGCAACUUUGCAGAUUGAACCAAGGAGACCAACAAAUUAAAAAUCACCACAGAUACAUAUAAUUCUUGCGGUUCUUCAGAUUGCAGGUUGAUUAGUUCUGAUGGGUUCUCCAAAGAAACAACAAGACAAUUGUACACAACAUAGAGCCAUGAGCAACACUGCAUCGAUUUUGAGCACUCCGCGGGUCUCCUCGUAGAUGAGGCCGGAGAUGCACUUGACGCCGCCCCUCCUGGCCAGCCUUUGGAUCGCCGGCUUGGUGAUGCCCUGGAUGUUGUCGCGGAGCACCUUGAGGUGGUGCUUGGCGCCGCCCUUGCCCAGACCCUUGCCGCACCCCAAAAUCCCGGAAACCGGGAAGCUUCGCUCGUAGCAACCUCUGACUUCCACUAGCGCGAGAUGCGGCGGAGCACGGCAGCAGGUUGAAGCCUACCCGGACGAGGCACUCCCUUGCCACCUCCUCCGACAACCCGGGGAUCAGCUCGCCCCGCUGCUCACCUCGCUGGCGCUGCUGCUGCCGCUCGCCUGGCCGCCACCACCCUUCGCCCCGCCGGUGCCGCAGCCCCUCACCCCGCCACCGCCGCUGCGUGCGCAGGAAGGUCCGACUGCUCGGGUGCGCGGUCGGUGGGUGCUGCGGGGCGGCCGGCGCCCUAGUGUGUGCGCCCGGGAAAAAAACGCGCAUGGGCGGAUUGGGGAAGACCGGGCGUCACGAAUAUAUGCGGGGCGAAGGGUGUUUUUUUCCGCCGCUAAUCUUCUGGGGAGUUUUAGGUGGACUGUUGGAGUUCUUUUUUUCUCUUUUUUUUCCCUAAAGAAGGUUUUGGGGUAAGAUUAGCAGCCUUUUGUAGUUGCUCUUACCAUUGGUUUAUUUUGGUUGGAUGUGCGCCUUGCCUGCUGUGAUCCACUGAUCUACCGUACCACGUGGGCCGUGGCCCAGCAACUGCUACGUGGGCCCAUCCUCAGCCCCAUGCCAAUCCUCCGGUCACCCCUUUCUUCAACCUCCAUCUUUUCUCUAUGAAGUCUGGACACAAGAGGCUCUUUGAAAGCUCGCUCCUUCACUCGAUUCAAUUGAGUCUCCCCCACAACCAUCCUCAACAACAUCCCCCUAGCUUCACACAUACCAUGGCUUCAUCGUGUUCGUCUCCCCAAAGAUCUCUUGUUCUUGCUCCCAAGAAAAUCAAGAAAUCCCCAUUUGUUCAUCCCAUAAAUCCCCCAAUCCCAAAAUCUGAGAUCUCCUCUAAUUCUUGGCAGCCUCUUUCAGCCUCCAUCGGGCUUGAUAUACAAUGGGGUCGCCGAAGGAGGGCCUUCGGCCAAUUCUGGCAAUUUCAGCCCGUAUUGCCAUUGGAGGCAGCCGACUGAAGAUGGAUUCUGUCCUGCCAAGCCAAGAUCGAAACAUCAACCGGUACACUGUACUGUAUGCUCCCAGCAUCCAUUUCCCCUUCAAAUUCACGCAAACCGCAACUUGAAUUCGAAUUCCCUUUCGCUCGUCCGGCUAAUUUCCAUUUUGUUGCAGAUUCGUAAUGCAGGCAAAAUGAGAACAUUUCUCGCAAGGCAAUGUAGGAGCCCAGCAAGUCUGUUGGCGCCUCGUUUGAGGCCCUUUGGCCGCUCCUCGCCCAGCCUAUCGCGGAUCAACAAGCCGAUCGGCGCCGGGGCUUUUCGAAGCAUGAUGAUAAUAUCGAUCCCUCCUCUUGAACCCCUCACCUCCGAACCGAAGCAAACGCAAGGAACAAUCACCACCUCCUGACACCAUUGCUAGAGAAGAGACCGCAGCUCGCCCCCAUGCCUGCGCCCACGUACCAUCGAGGUAAUCCGCGUGCUCCUCACUCCCCCCAAACCCCUUUCACCGUGCAUUCCUCGCUUCCCGAUCCCCCUUUAGCUCUCGCAUGUCUCUUGUUGGCAAAAUAGCCAUGUUACCCGUUCAUGCAGUACAUAUAUAGCGUAAAUUUACCCGCACCGCGGUACUAGAGCGUCACGGUAAACAAGUUUAUCGGCUCCGUCCCUCUAUUUCCACUGGACUCCCAGGGAUACGCCAUUGGCCUCCCACCGCCGCCAGUCCCUACCACACCACCCUUGCGCCUGUGCUCGGAACCGAAGAGAGGCUGCACUGUGACUUGCCGAAGGAGGGUGUCGACGAGAGUGUGCCUCCGACGUCGCACUGAAUAGGCCGAGUGCGGCAGUUCCGACCGAUCUAUUCGGCGCAAGAGAAGGGUGCCAUCCUGGAGAAGGCAGGUUGUACCCUAGAUCCGAGGGCCUUGGAGGUGGGGGAGCGAAGGAGGAGGCUUGAUCUGGCGGCCGGAGUAGCGUGGCAGGUGGAAACAAGCGUGGAAAGGUUCGGCGAGAGGGCAGCCAUCUGUGCAAGCGGCGGCGGCGAGGUUCACCGGUUCAGGCGGGCACAUCCGAUGAGAGCUCCACCGCGCGCUCCAACUAGGGUCCUGCCCAACUCAGGUAUGUUCACCCUUGCUACCCCCUGCGGUUGUCCAAGAUCUAGGUUGUUCGGUGUCAAAUCUUUUAGGGUUAACUAGAUUGGGUUUUGAUGCUUGAGGAUAUUGCAGCCGGCACGUUCCCACUUGUUGCUUGUUGGCACUUGCUGCUAAUUAAUAAUUAGCUUGCUUCUAUGUUGCAUCUCGGAGAAAAGAACAUGCUAAGGCAAUUUACAGAGGCACAUGAGUAUUUGCAAAUAAAGAUCUAAAUAUUAUGCCUUAAUCUAAUAGGUACCAAACCUUGACAUUUAGCCUGAACACCAGACAUGCCAUUCUAAUAUGGAGCUUCUGCUUCAUUACUAGUGCCUUCUCUGAAAUGCCUUUUCUUCUGCUUCGUUAUCCAGCAUAAGUGGCAUAGGGAUAAUGGCAUUACCAUUGCCUUCUUUGAGAGUUUUUUUUGUCUUGUGUUCCUGAGAAGAUAAUUGCAAGAUCACAUAGUGGAAAUGAAAAAAAAACAUGUAUAGAGUUAAUAAAGUUAAACACUAUUUGUCUGAAUUUUUCUGCUUAUCAGGUCAUUUCUUAUGCUAAAUAAUUUUGUACUAGGACUCUGUUUUUCAUGAACAAACUUGGUGGGUUUUGAUCAGUUACUUGAAAAAAGUAAGUUGUGCCCUACAUUUAAUCUAAACUUGGUGGCUCACGAGAACUUUACAUACUCACAUAUCAUGCUUAAAUCAUGUCAUGUGCUACUAUUGAUAUCUUUUUUGCCUGUGAUUUCAGGAUGGACUCUAACCAGUCCAAUGUUCCUGAUGGAUCACAGGGAGCUUUUUCUGGUGGCAACAAUUCUCCCUACCAGGCUGCCUGGAACCCAUACAUGCAUGGUUACCAAGGUCCUCCAUCUUGGUUCCCCCAAGGAUUCGAGCAGCUUCCACCCAAUGUCCCAAUGAUUUAUCCAAGUACCAAUGGUCCAUAAGUGUUUCAUCCAGCUGAAAUGGCACAUGCAUCUGUGCAAAAUGAUAAGGUAGAUGUGGAGGAAGUGCUCGUCCCUCCAGCGCUAGCUCCUAUAGGAAAAGGAAGGAGGAAAAAGGCUAUCAAUAGGACCAAGUUAGGCAACUUCAACCCAGACGAAGAUGUAAACAUUGUGAAGUCAUGGCUUGAAAUAAGCUGUGACCCAAUUACAAGUACCGCGAAAAAAAAAGAUCGCAUGUGGGAUAGGAUUGUGUAGCGGUACAAUUUGAGGAGGGGAUCCUACCCAAAAAGGAGUUUGAGGUCUUUAUAGAGCCGUUGGGACAUAAUCAAGGCCGAAGUGGGGAAGUUUUCAUCCUUCUAUGCUGAUGCCAUUCGAGAGAAUCCUAGCGGGAUGUCGGAUGCCGAUAACGUUGCGGUCUGUUGACCCAUUUUAUUUUCCAUGCAUUUUGUUGUAAAUUUAACAACAAUUAUUUCCUGUUGCGGACCACUCAUGCAACAGUUACACUUCUGAUAUGAGGUACUAGAGACAUGGAGUGAUCGAUAUUUGAAAUAUGCUCAACUUUAGCUUGCGUACUUCUAGGCAAUAUGCAUCCAUGUUUUCCUUAUGGCGGUCUCACACGUCGUUGACUUGAUUGAUCACCACCAGUGAGUUGCUGUAGACCAGCAAUUGCUUUUAUUCCUAGCGAGACUGCCAUGCGGAGCCCAUGCAAAUGCGCCUCGUAUUCGGCUUCAUUGUUGGACACUUCCCAAAUGAUGUGCAGGACAUACUUGAGUUGUUCGCCUUUGGAAGAUAUCAAGAGUACUCCUACGUCGGCGCCCUCGAGUUUGAGUGAUCCAUCGAAAUACAUGACCCAAUGCUUUGGAGGGGGUCCCCGCCUUACCUUAUAUUGCCGGGGGCAGGGUUACAUGUUAGUUGGUUACAAGAAUACUAAUCGGAUAUGACUAGAAGAGUUCUACUCUUUUACUACGAGUACUCUUCUAAUACUCGACUAGUUCCCGUCUUUCCAUGUAAACUACGCCGUUCUGCGCCACAGUCUCCAUGUCAGAUGCAUCUCGAUAUCCAGUUAAUGUCCAAACCUUCUGGUGGGCCUAUAGAUAUAUGUACGACAGGAGGGCCAUCGUACACAAUUCGUUGCCCUGUGAUGGAGCGGGGAUCAAAGCCUAUCAAUGAACCCCUUGACUGGAACAGAACUUAGAUAGAACAUGCAGCAGGCAUAACAAGAACAGGUUUAGCUGGACUGAGUAUGAUGUUGCAUCAUUGCAUGGUCCCGAAGGUUGUAAACCCCCUUAACUAGAACAGGGGUAUUCUGCAUACUGUGUUUUGCCACAGGAACAAGGUUCUCUGGGUUAGUUGUUCCGUUGCGUGCUGCUUAAGCUUGUAAACCUGUAAUGGCUCUGGUAUUCGACCUUGUUUUUUUGUACAGCAUUUAGUUCGUGGAAACUAUGUAAAUUGUACCGUUAUCCCUUAGAAUACUGUCGUCAUGUGAAUACUCGAAUUGUGCUCUCGGAAUGUAUUCUGUGGUUGCUGAUUUGUGCUUACUCGUGCCAUCAGACCUUCUUCGUCCUGCGGACAAAUAACGCGCACUUUUUCCUGGUAUAAAACGAUUGUGAUGGGUGGUACUUAUCUGGCUAAUCGGAUUGGAACAAAAUUUAUUGGUGGAACAGGUUUGUUUGUGUCUGUAACUCUGGCAGUCGCUGCAUCCACAGCAUCCAAAAGGAGCUGCGCUCAGAACAAAGUGCUACCUCCGUUCUAAAUUGUAGAUUAUUUUAGCUUUUUUCUAGACAUACACUAUAUUUGGAUGCAUAUAAACAUUCAUGAACUUAGUUCAAAACGACAUGUAACUUGGAACAGAGGGAGCAGCUAUUAUAUACAGAGGCAACGGCUGAAGCAGGUUGAAAGUUGAAACUAUCAUGCUCCUUGACUCGUUGGUGUAUUGGAUUAGAAUCAAAUAUGUUUGUGAGCACCAAAAGGCAAACUAUGUUUGUGAGCCUGAAGCCCUGAAUACCCCAUAUUCCUAGUUCAUUAUAAUGUACUAGCAUGGGUGGCGCCCUUCGCCGCGUCCAUGCCAGUUCCUCGUUAAUUUACACACAGAAAGAAAAUGUUCUGAGCCAGCUGCAGUGAGGAAGCAGGUGCUCUAAUGUCGCUGGAUAGAUUGGUAGGAGUAGGCAGCAACAUCAUUGGGUGAUUGGGUCUGAUGUAAGUCCUGAUGACAAACAAAAUUCAAAAUAAGCAUGCAAAGCCCAUACUGUCAACAGGCGUUCGCUGCAUCUUGUACCUGCAUGGAUCUCAUUAAUGUUAAUUUUACUUGGUGUGGAGAAAUCAGCAAUAUUGAUGUUUAAAUCUAUGGGGCUGUACUUGAGAUAGCUUCACACAGCUAACCGCUUAUCUAAUCCUAUAUGCUGGGAAAGUAGAAUCUCGCUUAGAAGGUCUGCCAAAAGAGGAGUAACAUGUCGUUUAACUUCUUUCCCUCUUCUUGAUCUGAAUGGACAAUAUGCUGCAAAUUUCUUUUCAAUCCUGUAAGAAAAAUGGAUGUAUAGAGGCCCACUGACGAAUAGACGCCUGGAGAAAUAUCUUAGUGGGGAAGUUAUCGAAGAAAAAUAGCAUGCGUGACGAACCGUCGAGAAGUCACCAACUUGAAUUAUGAAAUCUUUAAUCGCUAUUGGAUUGACAGCCCUUAUAAGUUAUAACCCUGUCGCAAACCAUUUUUCCUGCAAUCAUCGUCAAAGCUAAGAAUUAGAAGUCGUAUAGCAGACUGUGAUCUGCAAAAUAAUUUCAGAAUUACUGGAGCAACAUUGUGCUUGCAUCCUGAUCCAGUUGCUAAUCAAAUUACAACCACCAUCAGUAUCCUGUGCCAUAGUCAUUGUAUCCACCUCCCAGGUACAGCAUUGAAAAAAUGCAAUUCAUUGCACCCAUAGGAAAAUACUUUCCAGUCCCAAAGCAGUGCUAUAUCGUCAUGCCACAUUUAUGCACAUUAUCCUAAAGACCCAAAUUCAUAUCCUUGCAUCGCCCCAACAUCAGUUGAAGUAAACAUGAAGGUCAAGCAAGAAACAACUUAUUAUACCAAAUAACACAAAAAUAUCAUACAAGUCAGGCACAAAAAUAUUCUAUAAUUCAGGUAGUAGCAAAAAUAACACAAAAAUAUUCUACAAGUCAGGUAGUCCAGAUCUGUAAAUAUUCUAUAAUCUCAACUUGUCACCAAUCAUAAUAAUCAACAAGAGUACAGAAAAUUUUGCUCUUCUUCAGUUCUUUCUGUUCUUUCCUUUUUCACGCUGGCUAAUCUCCUGAUCAGAUGAGAACAUGUGAAACUAUAGAGUAUGGGGGGAAAUGAUAAAUUUCAUGGCUAGGGAGCGUAUAUACCUACCAAAUAACUUGUCAAAUGUAACCAUGGAAGUAUUUCAUUGAGGAGCUAUACUGAUAGGAAAAUACAAAUACAAAUGAGAAAUUUCAUCUCAACCACAGGAAAGCUUCCAAUUGUCACCACUAAAGCCUCUCUUAACUUUUUUAUUUUUUUACUUCGAGAAUACUCUGCAGUCGCUUCUCUAACCACUUGGAGCAAGCCAUUAGGUAACAUGUGAAAACCUAAAAGAUGCCGCACAUUCAACUUUAGGCCUCAACCGGAGCAUAUGAACUAAUGAACUGUACUGAAAUAAAACUCUGUAAACAAAAAUUGUAACGCUUAAGCGAAUAAAAAAUCCUGUCAUAACAGAUAUCCACAAACAAAAAACUUAUCUUCCAUUAUCAGCCAUCUACAUCAUGUUCUUUAUCCUCCAGUAGUAUCUGCAUCAAAAUUUCGAAUAUCAAGCAACCCACUAGCAAAUCUAUAUAGCAUCUAAAGAAAAUGGACAACAGUUUUCAAGCAUUACUGUGCCUAUGGUAACGCAGUUACAUGUGUUUUACACAGUAAAAAGACAACCGUUUCAAAACUAGCAUGCAUCGUUAGAAGACCAUUUGCAUUUUCCUCGUAAGGGCUUUUGUUACCCGCAGCAAAAAUCAAGGCCAAUAUUCUCACUCUACAGUUUCUGUCUCUCUGAUUAUACAGAUCUACCUGAUACCUGUCCUACGAUUCUAAUAAUUCUAUUUGACUAUAUAAUGGUUCAAUCUAAGCUGGGCUCAUACAACAUACCUACUUUAAGAUUUUCAUGACAAUAUAUAUCUACAUAGGUAAAGUGGUAAACACAGGGAGAAAAAUUCAGACCAAACCAUGAAAAUAGUUAUUAAAAAGAAAAAACAACAAGCUUAUGUUAACCGAAGCUUCACAUGGAGCGAGAUUCACAGCUGGACGUUUGUCAUCAUCUACAAUAGGCCUGUAUCCAACACCAAGGCAUUAUGCCAUAUACUACACGAGGCCUGUAUCCAACAUCAAGACAUCAUGCAACCAAAAUGCUGCAAGGAUAUAUAAUAUUACCAAAGCCUUUUUGAGAGCAACAUAUAAGCAAUAAUUUGCAAGAAAUCUGAAAGGUUGAUCUUAUCAAAUCAUACGAACAAAGUAACUGAAAUACAACAACACCACUGGUCUAUAUGGUAGGAGGGGACCAUUUUGUCCAUUCUUGCGUUAUUCUUUGAAAGAUGUGAUGCCAAGAUAAUGAUUUAUGUUAACGACUGUAAAUUUGCAAGCACGUGAAUAAUAUCCAAUUUGCAACGCAUCUUUUCUUACGAUGUGCUUAAGAUGCAACCAACGAAAGGCAAAAAUACCUCCAAUAAUAUUGUUCCCAGUCUAACAACAAUAGCUAUAACUGUUUCUUUGGUGCGACUGCUGGCCCCGAUCAUGGACUUCAAUCGCUGGGGAAUGUGCUUCAGUUUGAUCACACAAUGCCUCUCCAUGGAUAGCUUGGUCCAUUGGUGGUAACAAAAUGCAUUGACCUCUUGUUUCUCCUUUUUUUCUAUCCCUUCCUACCAGUGAGGGGGGAAAGGAUGGUGCGUAAACUGUUCAUGUGUGUGGUCAUUAGUCAGAUUUGCAUGGCUCCAGAGAAGAAAAGGCAUGUAUGCAAUUUCUGUGCUUUUAUAAUGUGUUAUGAUGAUGUAUUGUUAUCAAAUAUCAAUUUUAUAAUUGUGGGGGUAAACACUGCUGGCAUACUAUUUUAUAUCUGAAUUGUUUUUUUGAAAAGUAUACACAUUGGCCAUUACUUUCUUACACAGAUUAUUAAAGGUUGACGAAGCAACAUUUCAAAGAAUAAACUUCACGAUGCAUUGGUUGAUCUCCAAACAUAAUUCUUUCAGCACCAUACAAGGGAUCACUAACAUACUCCAUUAACCUCGGUGUGCUUGACCAAAUAAAAACUUACUGAUGCUCUCCUACCGAUUAAAGAAAAACAACAAAGAUUUAAUUUAGUUUCUAGGUUCCUCCAGCGUCUCAUGAUCCAGAACGUAAUCUUCUCCUUCGUCUUCCUCCUCUUCAUGGUCAUCGGCGACCUCGACCAUCAUAGAGACGUAGCCUUUCAAUGCAAUCUGUCGUUUAAAAUUCUCCUGCUCCGCGAGCAUGCGGCGAUCUUCCCUCUCUCCCAAGGCGUACAGUUCAGGAUCAAAGACCUCCAACCACGCCUCUGUCUCCGGGUCACAUGUCUCCAGCUCCUAGGACAGGACGUAGUCCACCUCGCUCUGCGGCAUCAUGAUCUCCUUCAUCUUCUUCCUGUUCCCCUCCAGCUUGUUCUCCGCGGCGUCCACCGCUGUGCUCACGGCGGCACUCGGAACUUGUUGACCGAAGGCCAAGAUGUCACCGUCAUCGUAGUCAUCAUCUUCGUACUCACCAUCCUCCUCUCCGUCUUCGUCAUCAUUCACCUCGACCGCGGUAGAGACGUACCCUUUGUCCGCAAUCUGUUGCAUGAAAUCCUCCUGCACUGAGAGCAUCCAUCUGUUCUGCUUCUCUCUGAAGGCGACCAGGUCAGGAUCCAGUCCCAAACCCAUCGCCUCCAAGCUCGCCAGCAACUCCGGCUCCAAGGGCGCCAUGGGCUCGAAGGACAAGGCGUAGUCAACCUCUCGCUGCGGCAUGAUGAUCUCCUUCUUCCUCCUCCUCCUC